UACGUAGGGAGCAAGCGUUGUCCGGAAUCAUUGGGCGUAAAGCGCGCGUAGGUGGCUCUAUAAGUCCGUUGUGAAAGUCAAAGGCUCAACCUUUGAAAGCCGAUGGAUACUGUAGAGCUAGAGUCCGGAAGAGGCGAGUGGAAUUCCUGGUGUAGCGGUGGAAUGCGCAGAUAUCAGGAGUAACACCAAUAGCGAAGGCAGCUCGCUGGGACGGUACUGACACUAAGGCGCGAAAGCGUGGGGAGCGAACAGG
Molecule: ribosomal RNA, 253 nt
Filed under: uncultured bacterium
Lineage: Bacteria
Description: partial 16S ribosomal RNA
Rfam family: Bacterial small subunit ribosomal RNA
Source: RNAcentral